This is an RNA transcript of Herpailurus yagouaroundi (jaguarundi), 1347 nucleotides long. It is a transcript of the gene named chromosome unknown C2orf80 homolog, with no coding region annotated. The record is from RefSeq and is a predicted model, not a curated record. NCBI's taxonomy places the organism in Eukaryota, Metazoa, Chordata, Mammalia, Carnivora, Felidae. The transcript is spliced from 11 exons.
AAAAAAAAAAAAAAGGCAUGUGUUUUCCUGAUGUCUGUGAGCACCAGCCCAAGACGAUGAUGUUCAAUGCUCCAGCACGCCUCCAGAAGCAGGGAGAGAACAAAAGCACCAGAAUCCGUCUCUGGUUGCUUGUAGGCUCAAAGAGGCUGACUCUUCCCCAAGGAUAUCAGGGGCAGUGUAAGCUACAGAUAUCUGCUCAUCUGGACAAGCCUUAAUCAUGGAAAGAAAGCUCCUAAAGAAGGAAAUGAAAAAACUCCUGGGAGAUUAUAUUGGCAUCAGACUUCGGGAAAAUGAAUUUGACCCAAAAGGAAGAAGGCAACUCACCUUUCUAGAUGAUAUGGCACACUAUGACUUGGCCAUCAAUGUUGCUUUGCAAUGGCUGGAUCACUUGGAAGACUUCACUUGGCUGGAGUGGGAGAAAGUGAAAAUGCCAUUUCAUGGCAGACCCACAUAUCCAAACCGGAAAGAAAGAGAAGCAAUGAUUUUAUCAUCUUAUGCUGGAAUCUUAAUGAACAGUCUCCCAGUUGAGGAAGUCUUUAAAAUGUAUGGAGCCGAUUCUUCUACCAAUUCUGGGGCCACCAAGGUUCCCCGAGCUCCACCUUUCCGCCUCUCCUUGCACCCCUUUGCCAUGUUAACGGCACCCAAAGCAGCAGAAUACGCCCGCAAACAGGGGGUCAAGUUAAGAAGGGGAGCAAACAAAAAUGCUGCCAGUAGCCCUGCAAGGGAAGUACAUGUCACAGCGUGGAAAUCAUCAAAAAAUGUAUCUUUGGACAUCCAGCCCAAGAACAAAGUGCCGAAAAUCUGUCUCGCAAGAUGACUCACUGCCACAGAAUUGCUUCAUAAAGUAAGGGACAAGGAGAACAUAUAUUUUUUUAAUCCAGGUCACUUAGAAACAUGGAAUUGCACCACGAGAGUCUAUAAUACAGUCUCCAGGAGGGGAAAAGAAACAUCAUCUUAGCACUGUAACUCUUGCCAGCACCGUUUUUCUUUAUGGUUAGCUUUUGGUGCAAAGUUUGUUGAAGGGUUACUUUGGAUGUUGGGCUUUCUUCUCUUAGAAUCCUAUUGUGUGGCUAGAGUGUGGUUUUUAAAAAAUGUAUAUCUGAAGCUACUUCAUUGUCACUGGAAGACGGCUGGUCGGAGAAUUUCGAGACUAUGUAGUAUUUCUACGUCAGAACAGACUGGCUUUGCAGCAAUGCCACAAGUAUUUAGCACUGAGUACUGCAGAGUGAGGGGGGUAGGAGGCAGUUUCCCGAAGUUUUGACCCCAAAUCAAAUUAAUCUGUCAUUCACUGCCCUUAACUAUGUUCUCCGAUGGAGACAUUUAAAAUCAUUUCAAUAAAGCAGUAAA